RNAcentral lists this long non-coding RNA (16722 nucleotides) under Prunus persica (peach). RNAcentral's name for it is "long non-coding RNA (PPER_LNC006428)". Lineage: Eukaryota; Viridiplantae; Streptophyta; Magnoliopsida; Rosales; Rosaceae. The record is from RNAcentral.
CAAACCAAACCCAAACUAGAAAUACUCAGCUUAUUAUUUUUCAACUAAAAUGAGUUCGUCGACUAAUUCCGCAGCAGCAUACCCUCCUCAUCCCCAACCUUACUCGAUGGCGCCUGGAUCUUAUUACGUGCAGGCUCCGCCACCUGCUGGUUAUCCCACAAGAGAUGCUCCAAAUCCUGCUUCCGCUCAUCAUGGGCCUGUAGAAACCAAGUCCAAGGGUGAUGGCUUCUGGAAGGGAUGUUGUGCUGCCUUGUGUUGUUGUUGUCUCUUGGAUGCUUGUUUUUGAACAUCAUCAUCCUAUGUGAUUUUUGAAUUCAGCCCAGUAAUCAUAUAUUACUUUAUUCGUUUGUGAAUUAUGUUUUCCUCACUUUCUGUAACUUUUGCGUUAUUAUUCGAUUAUGUAAUUCUUGUUGUUGCAUUAUUCGUAUAGUAAAAUUCUAUAAUUUGUUCAAAUAAAAGAGACAAGUUUUUGUGAGUAUUAAAUAGUUUCACGUUAUGAUAUUAACACUGUACAUUCACGAAUUCGCUUGAAAAAAAAAAAAGAAAAGAAGAAAGAAAACAUGAACUCGGAUUCUGAAGUUAUUAACUGUAUUUUAGGCUGGGUGGGGUAUGCAAUGUCAUCAGUUGAUGACGUGGGAGAACGUGUGACCAAACAUGUGGAAAAUGUAUAUUGGCCGUUCAAUCUAAUAUCCAUACAAUAAUAGAACCCUUAUGUCAUUCGAUUUGAUACUGCCACCAUAAUAGAUAAACAAUAGAAGAUUUGAGGAAGAGUUUCAGAAGGAAAAACAGAGGAAGAUGGAGUAGUUGUUUGAGUAAAACUUCUAUGGUGCAAUUCUUAGACAGUUUUGGGUAUUUCUCAGAUUCUUUGCUUAAGACAAAAGCCUAAGGCUUAUAUAUACAAGGAUAGAUAAAAUCCCAACCAUCCAUGCGGCGUAUUGAUCGACCAUACAAUAAAGUCAAAAAGUCAAACUAUUUGUAUCACAAUCUUUGAACUUCUUGUGCUGUGAAUGAUAUGCCUUGUUUAAGAACUUAUUUGUAUCACAAUCUCAAUUCUCCUAUUCACCAUAUUCUUGGACUGUUAUAUUCUGUGUUGCUUUUUAUUUAGUUCGAAAUCUUUCCUGUGAUGAAUGGUUGCUCUAAAAUUAUUUAUUAAAUACUUGAGGCAAGGGACUUAGCUCCAUCUAUUUUUAUAGGAUGAGAGCUUGUGAGAAUUCCCUGUAAAUGUCUCCUCUCAAGACCCCCGCCCCCUCUAUUCUUUUUGCUCUUGUUUUGGCACAUUGAUGAUUGAUGUGUGAUGCGAUCUUUAUGAUUUAUGCUUGAAUGCCUGUACUUUUCAGUGUUCUUCGUUUGUUAUUGCUGAUUAAUAACAACCUUCUUGUGUGAUUGGUCCAUUACAUUGUUUGUGCUAACUUUCCUUCUCAAAUUUGAUUACUUAGAGUCAGCAAUCUCUUUGACGAACGACUUUAUAGAAACAGCAAUCUCUUUGACGAACGACUUUACUAAGGUGCUAUCCAAGCACCCAGGAAGCAUAAAAGGUGAAGUUGUAGAUAAUAAAAAAUAGAUAUUUGUUGAUUAGCAAAAAACCCAACAAGAAAUGGAGGGAAAUGGUUCCAAAUUGGUGGCAAAUGGGUCUGAAGCUUUGAAGAGGUCAAAAGGAAUUGAUUUAACGAUUAUAUCCCUUAUAAAAUAGGGAUUUAACGGUUUUUUUGACGAAUGAACUAUUUAAGAGCACCUAUAUUAAUGUUAAGGACCAUAGGUGAUACAAAUUUUUUUUUUAACGAUGCAAUUUGAUAGUUUCGCAAACAUAGAGACGUUUUGUGAUAAAAAUCUUUUUGCAAAUUAUAAUUUGACAUAUGUGCAAAAAUAAUUCAUAAAAAACACAAAAAGAAAAACUUCUACACAUAUAUCAAACUGCCAUCGACAUAAAUGUUGAAACUUCUUCUUUACUAACGGGGAUGGUGGGAAGUAUUUUCCAUAAUAUAAUUGCUCUUUCCUACGGAGGUCGUCCACUCCAAAAGUAAUUAUGAGAACAGAAUAGGGCCCAUUGCGUUUUGCUUAGCAGUCUUGUUUUCUUUCUUUCUUUCUUAUUUCUUCUUUUUGGGGUCUGAACUGCCCCACAUAGGUACACUGUAGCCACCCGCGUAAGAGACACUAGUAAGAUAUCAAAUACGUAUCUUCCCAGAAACAACCACUCCAACAAUUGUCAUCUGCUUUCUUGAUCUAUAAAUUGCGCCUCAUCUAUCAUCUACCCAACAAACCAAACCCAGCUAAGUGUUUUCACUUUGUUUUCAUUCCCUUCUGUUUCUAGCAUCUCUCUUUUAUUUUCUUCUUCUACCUCCAUAGAAUACUUUGAAGGCCCUUAGAAAUAUUAUUCAAAGAUGAGUUCAUCAACUUACUCCGGAGCAGCAUACCCUCCCCCACCUUGUUCUACACCGCCGGGUCAGGCUCCACCACCUGCUGGUUAUCCAACAAGAGAUGCCCCAAAUCCCCAUGGACAUGGAGCUGUAGAAACAAAGUCAAAAGGUGAUGGCUUCUGGAAGGGAUGCUGUGCUGCCUUGUGCUGCUGUUGCGUUUUGGAUGCAUGUUUUUGAACAUCAUCCAGGAGAUUCUUGAAUUGAGAGCCCAAUAAUCCACAUAUAUCUUUCAUUUGUGAAUUUUAUUUUACACACAUUUAUUUCAGUUUUUCCGUUGUUAUACUUCUAUGAGGAAAGGACCAUGUCGAUUUCCCAUAUAGUGAUCCUACGUACCGAUUGUCCAAUUCUUUUUAUUGUAUAAUGAUUCUUAUAAUAAAAUUUCUUCAUUUGCAGCUAAUAUAAGGAAAUCUUCCAUGAAUUUAUCUUGAAUCGGGAUCUUUUGGCUCAACUUUAUCUUAGUUCUAACGAGGGAGCAACCUCAUUUUUCACCUUGAAGUGGUCAAAAUAUAUGUGAAAUUUUUUUACUUUUUGUAGAGGAUUAGAUCUAGUAAUUGGAGGUCAUGGCUGACUCACACCAUAAUUUAGCUAUUGCAAUUCUUUUUUCCUUGGUAGCGGGUCACAUGUAUAGAAUCAACUGGGACAUUGGUCAUUGAUGCAAGAGCAUAUGGGUGGAUUAAGAUAGAUAUUUAGCAUUUAAUUAGUUAUUUCAUGAUAUAUUGUUAUUUUCUUACUUAGGUAGUUUUAAGAUAUCUUUUAUUAUUUCACUACUACAAAAAGUGAGAAAGACGACCAGAAAACAACGACGGUCUAAGUGAAAACCGUCGUGGUUUAUAAAAAGACGACGGUUCUAAAAACACCGUCGUGUAAUACAACCUUAGACAACUAAAAAAUGGAGUUUCAAAUGGCUGUUCAAAAACAACGACGUACAUAAUUAAACAACCGACGUCUAUUUGAAACAGAUUUCCGCAGUGUAAAAUCAAUGCCAACAAAGAACGGCAGAAGUUAUGAAUCGACCGACGUAGAAAGUAAAGACGACGAUUUCAAUAAAAACUGCCGUUUUUACUCAUAAAAUAAGACGACGAGGUUUUCGUAUAAGACGCCGUAUAAUUACAAACAAAUCCACGGCUUUAAAAUACAAAAUAUCGCCGUAUUAAAUUAAUUUACAACGACGGAAAAUAUAAAUAUAUCGACGUCAUUCUCGUAUAGUUCUACUACGUUAUCUUUAAAUCGUACAAUAAAAUUUAUCGUCGUAUUUAUUCAUUUUAUACGUCGUACCUUUAAUUUUAACGGUCGUCUUAAUAAGAAUUUUUGUUAACAAUUUUUUUCUUUGAUUUUCAUAUCCUACGUCGGUAGAUCUACUUAAUGACAAGAAUUGAAAUAACCACGACGGUUUAUAUAGAACACCGCCGACAUAAUCAGUUUUGUCUGAGAUCCCAAGGGUUACGAAAUCUUACCAGAUGGAACUCUGUUCCACAUCAUAAUCUUAACAGAUGACACAGAUUUGCAAAUAUUGCGUCGUGUUAGUUUACAAAUUCUAGAACAUUAAUUUCCCUCAUUUUAAAUUUCCUCGGGAAAGAAAAAUCUAUUUAUCACGCUUUGGAAUUGAAAACUAAAACUGAAAGAAUACGGGAAAAAAAACUCCAUUUAUAAUUUAAAAUUAAAAUCCACGUCGGUUGUAGUACACUUAACGACGUUUAACAAAAUAAUCUACGUCGGUAAUUAUAAAUCUACCGCCAUCGUAACUUAAUAUAGACGACGAGAAAAGACGACGGUAGAACAGAAAACCGCCGUUGUUUCAGUUUCUUUAACAUAUCUUUCUGCAGGACUUGUGUAGUUCAAAGCAUUGACAAUGUCUUCAUCAUAUCUCCCAGAAACUACUGAUUCAAUUGCUCAUGCUUUAGAGGCCAUCUGAAGCCAUUUCUAUUCUUAUCGCAUUCUUGAAACCCAUCUUCUUCUUCUGAAGCUCUACGGAUAAAGGAAGAGGCUAUCACAAUAAAUCCGAUGGAUCUUCUUAGGCAAGAAAAUCAAGCAGAGGAUCAGGCACAUCUGAUCUUCAGAUUUCCCUGAGAAGCGAACUUUCCUUCGACAGCGAGUGGAGGCCAGGCUUGCAUCUCUUUUGAUGGAAAGCAAGGAGUAUUCAGAAGCACUAAGUGUCCUAUCAGGCUUGAUCAAGGAAGUGAGAAGGCUAGUUGACAAGCUUCUUCUUGUGGACAUAUAUUUGAUGCGAGUAAGCUCAAUUUCUCUUUGAGAAAACAUCCAAAUUAUUAUCUUUGAGACAUGAGAGACUGAGAGAGGAAGAACUUGGAACCUUAAAUGUAAACCGAAAAUGAAUGAAAGCGACAAAUUUAUAGAAUAAAUUUUUAAAACCAACGGCGGUCCUUACAAAAAAACCGCCGUUUAAAUUGUAAAAUCAACGUCGGUAUGAUCGACGUAUAUUACAGAAAUCCACGUCGGUAAAUUAAUAAAAACGACGUGUUAAAUAAUAUACCAUGACGCGAGUUAUUACUUAUGUACUUUAAUUUUUGAGUUUACUACGACGGUACCUACAAACUACUGUCGUAUUUAUUUACCACGUCCGAAGUUAAAUGUACCGUCGUAUUUUGUAAUUUAUACGUCGUAGUUAUAUGUAACCGCCAUAUUAUUUUUUUGAAAUGGUUUUAUAUGUAAGCAACUUUUCGUCUACUUGACUUACACAUUUGUUGUUUUUAUAUUCUUAUUUUAUUUAAAUCUGUCAUCCAAAAAAGAAACUUUACAUAUUGCAGAAUAUUAAUUUCCUUCGUUUUAAAUUUCCUCCGGAAAAAAAACUCUAUUUAUAACGCCCUGUAAUUGAAAAAUAAACUGAAAGGUCACGGGAAAAAAAAUUCUAUUCAUAAUUUAAAAAUUAAAAUCCACGUCGGUUAUAUUAAACCUAACGACGUUAAAUGAAAUGAUUCCACGUCGAAUGAAAAAUAUUGCGUCGUUUUAGUUAAAAACGACGUAGUUAAAUGUAACCGCCGUAUUAUUUUUUUGAAAUGGUUUUAUAUGUAAGCAACUUUUCGACUUACACAUGCACUGUUUCCAAACCCGAUUAAAAAUUUCAAUCUCCCAGAGAAACCUUUUCGUCUUUUUUCCUUGUCAGAGCAUUGUCAGAGUUUCUCAUCGUCUUCCUCUCGUCUUCUUCGUCGUCUCUGAACUUAAACAUCGAUCAUCUUCCUCUUGCUUUCAUUGCACGCAAAAGGUAAGCUUUCAUUUUCACUAUUUUGGUUACUGUUUUGCAUGCUCAUACGUUUUUUGUUUGAAAAAUCUUUUUACCUUUUUUAUGGCCAAAAUCGUUUUACUUCUUUCCAAGUUUGAUAAAAUAUACAGACAAAGAGAGAAAGUUUCCAACUUUGAAGACAACUACAUCAACUAAAUAAGACGACGGUAGACCACGACGGUUCGUCAGUUGUUCUAGCGUCGUCUGAAAAUUGACAAAGUUGUUUUUAAAAUAAUAGUCUUUUUUUAUAUGCUUGUUUAAUUGCAGGUUUGAUUUCGCUGAACAAUGGUUUUUGUUUUUCCCUUAUUUGAUAAAAUAUAAAGAAAAAGAAACUAGGGUUGGUAUCUAAUAUAGACGACAAAAUAUCUUAUUGUUUUACGUCGUGUGAAUGUUAAUACCACGACGGUGUAUUACUAUUGACGUCGUAUGAACAUAAAUACCACGACGUUAUAUAAAUAAUAGUUUACCACGACGGUGUAUUACUAUUGACGUCGUGUGAACAUAUAUACCACGACGUUAUAUAAAUAAUGGUUUUAAACAUUUAUUACGUCUGAGAUUAUUUCAUUGCGUCGUCUAAAAUCAUAUCAUACGUCGUAUUUUUUUAAUACCGUCGUUUGUGUUCUUAAUGUUUUCCUGAAAUAUUUUCACUUGCAGUUUUGUCUGUUAAAAUGGUUUCUCAACAACAAACUAAGGAUUCUGGCUCCAAGAAGCUUGGAAUGGUAGCUCCUCAAGAUAAGUCUUCGAAGGAGAUGAAGUCUUCGAAGAAGAUGAAGUUUGCUUCAUCAUCUGCUGAGACAGAACAAACCAGCCAGACAACAAUCUCAGAUGAUUCAAGGACUGGUCGAGGUAUGAGCACAAUGCCUCGUGUUGUGAAGAGAAAGCUUCAGAAACUGAGGCCAAUUGUUGAGUACAAUAAAAGGGGGAAAGGUGUUGGCCAAGCACAUAUUGAGAUGCAGUCGUAUAUUGGUGUGUUGGCACGCUCCAGGAUCCCACUUGUGGACAAGAAAUGGUCCCAAAUCCCCAAGGAUAUAAAGGAGCAGAUUUGGGAAGCAGUUGACAUGGCUUUUGUCGUAGGCCAAGGGGGCAAGACCUCUGUUUUAGCUUCUGCUUCCAAGAAAUGGAAGGAUUUACUACGUCGUUGAAUGGAUAUACUACGUCGGUUAUGAAAAAUAUCGUCGUCUGUGAUUGAAUUUCUUUUUAUUUAUAAACCCUAAUAGUCAUUGUUUAUGCAGUAUGCCAAGGGAAACCAGGAAGCUUCAUACCCCCAAGAAGCCAUUGAUGAAGUCCGGAAUGAAUGGGCAGAGUUUGUUUUCCAAAUUAUUAAACAGGGCAAUUAUUGAACACUUGAUAUUUAUGUAUAAUGUACCAAUUUUCUCUAUAAUAUGUAAUGUAAAAAUUUGUUGAGGUUUUCUUAAAUUAAAAAAAAAAACAAACAUACAAAUUGCUUAACCGACGUGUAAUACUUUUCCAACGACCUAAUAAAGUCAAUAACCGUCGUAUUUUGUUGUUGCGUGUUUUAAACAAAUACGACGUAAAAAAAUAGUUAGACGACGUUCUUUGAACAAUUGAGUCGUUAAUGGUUUACAAUAUCUUCAAUUUCUUAAGGGUUCAGGGUAUAAUCGACGACGUUUAUGUAACGACUGCGGUUAAGUCGUAAAAUAUAUAUUUUACGUCGUAUAGUUAAAUAGCCGCCAUGGUUUCUCAUUUUAACGACGUCAUUUUAACGACUUAGUAGUCUAUUACAAUUUACAACGUCUACAAUUUAUUUAACACCGACGUGGUUUGUUGUAUGGUAAGAAUAUUUUAUUAUUUUUAUAUCAAAAUAUUCAAAAUAAAUAUAAAAUAAAUCAGAAAAUUGAAAAGUCAACUCCUAUGAAGUCAUUGAUAUAUUUUCUUCCACAUAAACCUUGAAAAAAUUCAUUUUGAAUAACAAAAAUUUAAAAUGACCAUCCAAAACAAAAUUGUUUUGAUGAGUCAUAAAAUCACUUCUAGUUUUAUGGUUUAGGGUUUAGAGUCUAGGGUUUAGAGAUUAGGGUUGUUAUUUAUUGGGGUUUAUUUUUAAAGUAUAAUUUUUGGGUAGUCUAGGGUAUAUGUUAGGCUUUAAAACCAUAAAACCUUUUAUAAACUUAAUUUUUUAAAUUGUAUAAUUUAAUUUUAUGGGUUUAGUGUAUUAAUUUUUAACGACGGUGGUUGGGUCGUGGAAUACAUAUUUUACGUCGUACAGUAAAACAUACGACAUGGUUUACGCUUUAAACGACGUCAUUUUAAUAUGUAAGUCGGUUUAUAUAAUUUACAACGUUUUUAAUUUCUUAACACCGACGUGGUUUCUCAUUUUAACGACGUCAUUUUAACGACUUAGUAGUCUAUUACAAUUUACAACGUCUACAAUUUAUUUAACACCGACGUGGUUUGUUGUAUGGUAAGAAUAUUUUAUUAUUUUUAUAUCAAAAUAUUCAAAAUAAAUAUAAAAUAAAUCAGAAAAUUGAAAAGUCAACUCCUAUGAAGUCAUUGAUAUAUUUUCUUCCACAUAAACCUUGAAAAAAUUCAUUUUGAAUAACAAAAAUUUAAAAUGACCAUCCAAAAUAAAAUUGUUUUGAUGAGUCAUAAAAUCACUUCUAGUUUUAUGGUUUAGGGUUUAGAGUCUAGGGUUUAGAGAUUAGGGUUGUUAUUUAUUGGGGUUUAUUUUUAAAGUAUAAUUUUUGGGUAGUCUAUGUUAUAUGUUAGGCUUUAAAACCAUAAAACCUUUUAUAAACUUAAUUUUUUAAAUUGUAUAAUUUAAUUUUAUGGGUUUAGUGUAUUAAUUUUUAACGACGGUGGUUGGGUCGUGGAAUACAUAUUUUACGUCGUACAGUAAAACAUACGACAUGGUUUACGCUUUAAACGACGUUAUUUUAAUAUGUAAGUCGGUUUAUAUAAUUUACAACGUCUUUAAUUUCUUAACACCGACGUGGUUUUUCAGUCGUCGUUAUAUAAAAAAUUCAAAAUAAAUUUAAAAUUAAUCCGAAAAAUGAACGGCCUUACGUUCUUAAUCCGAAAAAUGAAGUUUCCGUCGUGGAAUAUUAAAUUUACGUCGGUACUUGUAGAACUUUCGCCUUGGUUUUUCUUUCGACGUUUUAUAACGCGCGCGCUCUAAAAAUUUUCGCGCGACCUAAAUUUUUUUAGAUUUGGCUCUUAUUCUUAUACUUUGAUCCCUGAAACCUAAAAUUUCAGAUUUCACGCGACAUAACAUUUCGCUCUCUCACUUCUGCUCUAAUUAAAAGUUGCACUCUCCAGGCUCGUCGAAUCUGUGAGCUCGUCCAACCUGUAAGUACAAACCCUAUCUUCCCCUUGUAAAUUCAUUGAAUGAUAUUAGGUUGUUUUGUUAAAGGGUUUUAGGUAUAUGCUUUGCGAUCUGUUAAUAAUGUGCUUAUAGGUAUGGGUUCAUGGAUUUUCUGUUUAAUGGGUUCAUGACAAAGGUGUACUUUUGCUGGAAAUCAACACAAAAAGACACAUCACCAACUUCCAAAUGAUUUCCAGCAAAAGGACACCUUUAUUUGAUCUUGUCAUUUUCCGCUCUGGAGAAGGUGCAAAGUGCACCAAUGCUUAUAGGUAUGGGUUCAUGGAUUUUCUGUUUAAUGGGUUCAUGGAUUACAUUAUCUGUUAUGUUGAAUUGGGAAUGGAUUUAAUUUUGUCGUAUCUUUUAAUCACCCUAUGUUAUGUUGAAUUGGGAAUGGAUUUAUUGUUUUCAUGCUUGGUUUCAUGUAUAUGUUGGUUUCUUGCUUGGUUUCAUAUAUAUGUUGUGUUCUUAAUGGGUUUUGUGUUCUUGAAAAUAAACUGAGACACGACGAAUUUUAAGGCGUACGACGACGAUUACACGACGGUGUUUUUAAACUACCGUCGUUGUAUUACUUAUACACGACGGUUUUUUCAUAAACCGUCGUUUGUAUUACGUAUAAUAGACGACGUCUGUUGAAAAUCCGUCGUCUAUAUAUGCCAAAUACGUCUGUUUUUGAUUAAAACCCGUCGUCUCUGUUGUUUAUCUUAUAUAUUUGGGACCGUAAUGCUUGAAUUUUUCGUGUCAUGUAGGCAACAUAUGAUCCACAUCAAGACUGCUUAUCCAAAAUUUAGAAAGAGAACAAAGUGGCUGCAGGAUAAGCACAAUAGCACUUUCAUUCAAUGGCUACGCUUCAAGGUAUAUGUUGUUCAAUAACGUAUUUCUCUUUUAAUUUUCUUCUUAUUUAUAUGUUAGGAUGAAUUAAGAUAUGAUUAAUUUGCAGGUUCAAAGUGAAGUUGAGGAAGACAAUCAUGGCGUAUCAGAAAAUUUAAGGUGGCUAGCAGCUGGUCCAAACAUGUCAGUGCCAUUAUAUAGGAGCUAUCUUAUUAAAGGUAUUAAAUUCAAUAUCAAGGCACAAGAUGAUGUGCGGACAACUCAAAAUAGUGGAGUUUAUUUACUUGCACAUACCAUGCAAGUUGCUAGUGCCAAGGAUAAAAACCCAAUUCUCUCAAAUAUGGGUUUCUAUGGUGUCAUUCAAGAAAUUUGGGACCUUGACUACCAAAAGUUUACAAUCCCAGUCUUUAGGUGUGAUUGGAUAGAUAGUUCUGGUCUUGUAGUCGACGAACUUGGAUUUACCCUUGUAGAUUUGAGUAAAAUUGGACAUAGGAAUGACCAAUUUGUUUUGGCUUCUCAAGUCAAACAAAUAUUUUUUGUUGACGACCCGAUGCAUCGUGGUUGGUCGGUAGUGUUAUCAAUGCCUAGUAGAGAAUAUAAUGAUGUUAUUGGUGAUGAAGUAUUAGGUGAUGUGAUAAUUGAGUGUGAGCCAUUUACUAGAGGGAUGCCAAAUGUUGACACAUUUGAUGAACUGGUAGGUGAGUUAGGCGGUCAAAAUAUUCGAGAUGGGUGUGAAGAUAUAUGGAUUGAAUGAUGCUUAUGUAAUUGGCAGUGUAUGACAUUAAUUUUGUAAUAUAUUGUAAUGUGAUUUCUUCACUUUCUACGUUCAAAUAAAACACGACGUUAUUGUGAAUCAGUUAUUCAGCAUAUUUACCGACGUCUUAAAGCAACGUAACAAUGAAGAACCACGACGCUAUUGUGAAGCAAUUAUUCAGGAUAUCACGUCGGUGAAGGAUAAAGAACCGCCAUGUAAUUCAAAAUAACACGACUCCAAUCCCAUAAUACCGACGUCUAAAAAACGAGAUAUGUAAUCUGAACGUUAAAAAAUACGACGUCAUCAUACAUUUUCCACGUCGCAAGUUCUUUUAUAAACGAAGAGGAACGAAAUUAAUUCCGACGGAAAUUCAUUAUAACCGCCGUCUAAUAACAAUUAAACGACGUUAUUUGUAAUACGGCUCCCAUCAUAAUCUACGCCGUCUAUAUGUUCUGUAAUACGGCUCUCAUUUAUUUGGAACCGACGUUGUUUAGACGUUCAACGUCGUCUAUAUUAUUAAGUGCGUCGUGAGUAAUGAAUACAUAUAAAUACAACGUCGACUAUAUAAAUGUAUACGUCGUAAAUAAUGACACUGACAACUAUUUCCACGUCAUCUUUUUUAGAAAAAUCGAAGUGGAAAAUUUAUUUCACGACGGUUUUUUGUAAAUAAGAGACGUUGUAGAACUUUAGCAGACUAAACACGUCUGUUUUUAUUGUUUUCCGACGUUGUUGUAUUUAACAACGUCUAAUAUUUAUGGUCGUUGUUUGUUUCUGAAAAUAGGACGUAUAAAUUUUUUAAUACGACUCUCAUAUAUUUGUAACUGACGUUGUUUAGUUUUUCAACGUCUACUAUAGAAACACAUACGUCGUAAAUAAUGACACUGACAACUAUUUCCACGUCAUCUUUUAUCGAAAAAUCGAAGUGGAAAAUUAAUUGUACGACGGUUGUGUUUAUAUGUGCGACGUAGUAGGUAUCAAUAACGUCGUCUUCUAAUGUAUUUAAAGACGUCAUAUUUUUUAUUGUCGUGAAAAUUAUAUUUAACGUCGGCGUAUUUUUAGUGUCGUCGUUGUAUGUCUAUCUUGCGGCUUUGUUCUCUUAAUAUGUGUCAUAUUUUCCCUUUUUAACGACGGUGUUUUUAGAGAAUUGGUCGUCUAUUAUCAUCCUCGAUUGCUUUUUUUAGAUCUUUUUGCAGUACAAAGACGUCGUUUUGUAUUUUUUGAUGACGUUGUAUUGUUUAACAACGACGGUUAUUUAGCGUCGUGGUUUAUGAGGGAAAAGAUGACGGUGGAUUCCACGACCAUUGAAAAACCAAAUACACGACGGUGAUUUACCGUCGUCUUUUUGCUUUUUUGUAGUAGUGUUUGUGUGAUUUUAUAAAUUAAUUAGUUUACUUUUGGACCAAGUAGCCUUGGUGCCCAAGUCUUGUAAAGCCUAUAAAUAAGGCUAAUGUAAUAGUUGUUGGGGAAGGGGGGGUGUUGAUGUUGAUAAUUAAUGAAAUAGUUUAUUUGUGGUAUAGAUUUGCUACGAUAUAUGCGAGUUUGCACUAAUCCUAGAUUUCGGUACUUGUGUAUGUGGUUGGUGACCUAUGUUCAGAUCCCGAUCCCCAUCAAUUGGUAUCAGAUCUAUGGCUCAAGAUUUGCUUUAUCAGGAAGGUUUUUGGGUGGAGGGUCUUGUUGACAACUACAACGACAUUGAGGAAAUUAGAAGGAUGCUACGGCAACUUACGGAAUGCAUCGCUCGCAUUGAAGCUCAAACCCAGAUAGGUAAGAGUUCUGACGGGUAGAGAUGCGUGAACCCUUAUCUGAAUCGAGUAGCUCGCAUCGACACUCUAAGCCAUGGGAGUCUCGACAGAGAGUAUGAGGGAGGUAGCCCUUUGAUUCAAGCCUACGAUAUAUGUGAGUUUGUACUAGACCUAGAUUUCAGUAUUCGUGUAUGUGGUUGGUGACCUAUCUCCGGAUCCCGAUCCCCAUCAGUCAUGAUAUAAAAGAUAUUUUAUAGAGACUUACAUUCCCAAUGUGGGACAUGUCGCUUAACCCAACAAUCUUAACUAGUAUAAUACGAAACAAAAAACAAUGAUUGAUGUUUCAUUUCCUUAAUAUGUCAGAUGAAUUCUGUAGGGGCUUUUUUUCUUCCGGUAGCUAUAAAUGGGCUGGACUGCCGUAAAGAGCAAAAUGGCUGAAAUUUCCCCUUUAUGUUUGAGUUCAAAUAUCAGACCCCAAAAUGUUUCGAAAGGAUAGUAAAGCCUUAGGAAACACCCUAGUUACCUUCACCAACGAACAUAAUGGUUGUUUACAGAUGAAUUCUUAGUGCUUACAUGUAGAAUCUUAGCUUGGCAUGAGAGGCUUGUGGCAUGGGAGCAAAGUUGUCAUGAGUUUAGCACUAAAGAGAAAAUUAAGUAUUCCUAGGGGAAAGAUGUGGUAUUAAGGUGGGAGAGAAAUGAUUUUACAAAGAGGUUUGGUUGAGCAUGAAGGAAAGAGAGGAACGGGUGGCUUGAGUGUUUUUCCUGCAGCUUGACAGAGGCUCUGUCAAGUGUUAGAACAGCUUGCCAAGAGGGAAACUAAGGGAAAAGGAUGGGUUGAGCACGAAAUUGCUGGGUUUUGGGAGUAAGAGAGGAAGUUUGCUUUCUGGAUGUGAUUGAUGCUUGUUGGGUAGAAGAGGCCUCUUUUAUAGCCGCUGGAAGCUGACAUUUUCCAAGAAACCCUUAUAGUUUCUAUCCAAUUUGGCCAAAUCUCUCCCUUCAUUUCUUCUCUCCUCCUUUGAAUUUUCCCAUCUUGGUGAAAUUUCUUCGGUCUAUUUGCACAAAAUCAUGGAUUUUUGGGAGCUCAAGGCCCUUUCCCGCAGCUGUUUUAGUAGGAGACUCCCAUUCUCAGCUAUUUCACUUUUUCUUUCCUUCCUCCUUCCAUGGCUAGAUCUGAUCAAGGAAAGCAAAUGGAUAUACAUGCUAGUUCGAAGGGUGCCUCUCCUCCUGGCAGCUUGCGCGCUAAUAUCCUUUGGUUCUUCGGAUGUUUUGUGCAUGGAACUUGUUCCUUCCCAUGUGCUAGAGCCUUCCAGCAGCUCUGCAUAUGUGGACAUCUUGCUCCCUUCGUGGCUUCUAUUUUUUCAGCAAGGGGUUGAGGCUUUUGCUGCUUCUCAUUUCUAAUUGUAUGGGCCUUCUAAGAUAACAAGUCAACUUACCAAAUAAAUGGGCUAAUCUCAUCAAGUAUUGGGCUAUAUUGGUUAAUUUAAUGGACCAUUUUGGGCUAAGGUAAUGAGCUAUUUUUCUCCUUCGUGCUUACCCAUAUAUUUGGGCUUAAGAAAUGGGCUUGGGUUCUGAGGCUCCCAAGCAACCCGGGACCUGUAUUUCUUGGCCCAUCAAUGGGCCUUAUGACAACUUAUUACCAUCUAUACCACAACCCACUCAAGCAAGCCCCUGACAUUUGAGUGGCUUGGGUCCACUUAGGCUUGUAGCGUGGUUGGGUGUGAAAUAAUAAUUUCCUGCUUGACCUGGCAUGUUGCUUGGUACGCUCUAAUUUUAUUGUCCUUAGAGAGGGACACGGUGCUUAUUUUAGCAUGGGCUUGUAUUUUAUAACCUUACCCCAAUUCCUGGCAUGACAAAUUAUUUAUUUAGCUUAGCACGUGGGCUGUGACUUGUAUAUGACUGGCCUUCAUGUACUCUGAUAUGUGACUUUUCUUAAUAAAUUAUCGUAUUUGGGCCGAAAAUUUAUUUGGGUCCAACCAUGGACUUUUUUUGGGCCUCAACAAAUUCCAAUGCAAAAAAUAAAUAGAAAAGCUUUAUGACGUUAAAAAUUUGAAAUUAAACAUAACAUUAAUUAAAUUCAACCUGAAAUGUAAACUAUGCAUAAUGAGGUAAAAUGUCAAAAAGUGUAUUUUUUUUCGGCCAUCGGAUUUCAAAAUGCAUUUAUUUCAAUAUAAUCUAAAUUACGGAGAGAGGAAUUCGAACUUGGGUGCAGAGUGGGGAGUAUGUCUGUUCUAACCAACUUGGCUAAGCCCAUGCCUACACUAGAGAUAUAUAAUUCUAAAAAGUGAAUGAAAUUAUUGAUGAAAAUGUGACCCAAAAAAAAAAAACCAUCUUGAAGAAUACUUCUAGAAAGCCAGAGGCGAAAAAUUUGGCUCUUUAAAAUUAAGGAGGAACUCAUCCUCAAGGCAAAUGAAAAUUUGACAUAUGUCAAAUUAUGUCAAAUUCCAAAACAAAGAAAGUUAAAAGAAUUUUAAAAAUAAAAUUGACAAGUGUCAAAAUCCCUUUUGUUUUGAGAAGCAACUCGAGCUUAAAAGGAGUAGAGGUGUCAAACGGGACGGGCCGAACCAGCACAGCACGAGCCCAGCCCGUUUAAAUGAGGCACGACAUGGUACGAGCAUGAAUAUUGAUUGGCCGUGCUUGGCACGGCACGAAAACUUGAGCCAAGCCGGGAUCAAAAAAUGAGGUCCAAUAGACCGGGCCGGCCCAUGGCCCGACAUGGGCCGGGCUUGGCCCGAGCAUGCUUCAAGCACGGCAUGAGCCCAAGCACGAGCCCAAGCAUGGCCCAAGCACAGUCCACUUAACAUUUUUUUCUUUCUCAAAAGUCAAAAUGCAAUAAUUUGACAUAUAAUAUCAUUAUUUAUAUGUUUUUUUUUAAUAAUAUAAAUAUAUAUUUUAUGUCUUUCAUUUUAGGGAAAUUACUUGGGUCCUUAAUUAAUUAAACAUAUCAACUACAAAUUAAUUAAACAACACUGGACUUGAUAUCUAAUCAGUACAUAUGACAUAUACGCUUCUCUUAUAAUCAAAGCAAGACAUUUUUUCACAUAUAAAAUAAUAAAUUGUUUAAAGAUGAAAAGAUGAAGUGGACUUUGUGGAGUUGGACACUUUUUGCCGUCCGCCAUUUCAUAUUAUUUGGAUGUUUGAUUGAUUAUUGUUUUCAAAUAGUUCAUAAUUUCUUGCCCUUAAUUAUACUUUUAAUGUUUAUAAUUUGAAUUAUCUAGUAGAAAAAAAAAAUCAAGUGAAAAAAAAUCAAAUUAAAUGGAUUGGUUCUUGGGCCCGAAUAUGGCACGAGCUCGGCCCGACCCGGCCCGAUUCAAUAUAGACAUGGGCUUUGGGCCGGACCGAAAUCAAUGAUUUUACUAAAUGGGCCGGCAUGGCACGGCCAGAUAAAUUAAAUGAACCGGUCCUGCCCGACACAAAAACAUUAAAAGUACGAGUUUAAACAGGAUGGGCCAGCCCGGCACGGCCCCUUUUGACACCUCUAAAAAGAAGUCAAGCUUUUUUCCAAGCCAACUAUGUUGGAUAUCCUCUCACGAGUUGGAUAUAAUAUGAUUUGCUCUUUCCUACGUAGCUUCCACUGGCUAGUCCAAAAGUAAUAAGAAGAAUAAAAUUUUGUAUUUUUCUUCUCCACAUACAUUUUGGAUUUGCACGCGGUGUAGUGUUGCCACCCGCGUUAAGACACUAAUUAUUGACCUUCCAGGAAAUGAACAAUCACUCCAAUUCCCAUCUGGUUUUCUUCAUGUAUACCUAUAAAAUGGGGCUUCAUUCAUCAAAUCAAACCAUCCAAUACAAACCAAACCCAAACUAGAAAUACUCAGCUUAUUAUUUUUCAACUAAAGUGAGUUCGUCGACUAAUUCCGCAGCAGCAUACCCUCCUCAUCCCCAACCUUACUCGAUGGCGCCCGGAUCUUAUUACGUGCAGGCUCCGCCACCUGCUGGUUAUCCCACAAGAGAUGCUCUAAAUCCUGCUUCCGCUCAUCAUGGGCCUGUAGAAACCAAGUCCAAGGGUGAUGGCUUCUGGAAGGGAUGUUGUGCUGCCUUGUGUUGUUGUUGUCUCUUGGAUGCUUGUUUUUGAACAUCAUGAUCCUAUGCGAUUCUUGAAUUCAGCCCAGUAAUCAUAUAUUUCUUUAUUCGUUUGUGAAUUAUGUUUUCCUCACUUUUUGUAACUUUUGCGUUAUUAUUCGAUUAUGUAAUUCUUGUUGUUGCAUUAUUCGUAUAGUAAAAUUCUUUAAUUUGUUCAAAUAAAAGAAAGAAGUUUUUGUGAGUAUUAAAUAGUUGGGUAAUUUUCACUUUAUUACGGUAAAGUUUACUGACUUUUAGAGCUCGAUUCAUCAAAUUUUGUUCGUUUCAGUGGCAUACACAAAGUUUAUUUUCUUACAACUUUCAUACAUAUCGUCAGUCUUUCUGUUAAUUGCUGACGUGGCAACAAAUGUGCC